UCGAGGAUCUUCGGCAAUGGGCGCAAGCCUGACCAAGCGACGCCGCGUGCGCGACGAAGGCCUUCGGGUUGUAAAGCGCUGUCGAGGGGGAGGAAAGCCCGCAAGGGCCUGACCUAUCCCUGGAGGAAGCACGGGCUAAGUUCGUGCCAGCAGCCGCGGUAAGACGAACCGUGCGAACGUUGUUCGGAUUCACUGGGCUUAAAGGGCGCGUAGGCGGGCUUGUAAGUCAGGGGUGAAAUCCUCCGGCUCAACCGGAGAACAGCCCCUGAUACUGCGAGUCUCGAGGGAGGUAGGGGCAUGCGGAACUUCGGGUGGAGCGGUGAAAUGCGUAGAUAUCCGAAGGAACGCCGGUGGCGAAAGCGGCGUGCUGGACCUCUUCUGACGCUGAGGCGCGAAAGCCAGGGGAGCGAACGGG
RNAcentral lists this ribosomal RNA (415 nucleotides) under uncultured bacterium. Its description in RNAcentral is "bacterial SSU rRNA". It matches the Rfam family "Bacterial small subunit ribosomal RNA", at positions 355 to 776 of the family's 1533-position model. The record is from RNAcentral.